UUGAACGCUGGCGGAAUGCUUUACACAUGCAAGUCGAGCGGCAGCGCGGGGGCAACCCUGGCGGCGAGCGGCGAACGGGUGAGUAACACAUCGGAACGUACCCAGUUGUGGGGGAUAGCCCGGCGAAAGCCGGAUUAAUACCGCAUACGACCUGAGGGUGAAAGGGGGGGAUCGCAAGACCUCUCGCAGUUGGAGCGGCCGAUGGCGGAUUAGCUAGUUGGUGGGGUAAAGGCCUACCAAGGCGACGAUCCGUAGCUGGUCUGAGAGGACGACCAGCCACACUGGAACUGAGACACGGUCCAGACUCCUACGGGAGGCAGCAGUGGGGAAUUUUGGACAAUGGGGGCAACCCUGAUCCAGCCAUUCCGCGUGAGUGAAGAAGGCCUUCGGGUUGUAAAGCUCUUUCAGCCGGAACGAAACGGUACGCUCUAACAUAGCGUGCUAAUGACGGUACCGGCAGAAGAAGCACCGGCUAACUACGU
This 482-nucleotide ribosomal RNA is filed under the name uncultured bacterium. RNAcentral's name for it is "bacterial SSU rRNA". It matches the Rfam family "Bacterial small subunit ribosomal RNA", at positions 29 to 506 of the family's 1533-position model. The record is from RNAcentral.